AGUGAACGCUGGCGGUAGGCCUAACACAUGCAAGUCGAACGGCAGCACAGUAAGAGCUUGCUCUUACGGGUGGCGAGUGGCGGACGGGUGAGGAAUACAUCGGAAUCUACUUUUUCGUGGGGGAUAACGUAGGGACACUUACGCUAAUACCUCAUACGACCUACGGGUGAAAGCAGGGGAUCUUCGGACCUUGCGCGAUUGAAUUAGCCGAUGUCGGAUUAGCUAGUUGGCGGGGUAAAGGCCCACCAAGGCGACGAUGCGUAGCUGGUCUGAGAGGAUGAUCAGCCGCACUGGAACUGAGACACGGUCCAGACUCCUACGGGAGGCAGCAGUGGGGAAUAUUGGACAAUGGGCGCAAGCCUGAUCCAGCAAUACCGCGUGGGUGAAGAAGGCCUUCGGGUUGUAAAGCCCUUUUGUUGGGAAAGAAAAGCAGCAGGUGAAUACCCCGCUGUUCUGACGGUACCCAAAGAAUAAGCACCGGCUAACUUCGUG
Molecule: ribosomal RNA, 492 nt
Filed under: uncultured bacterium
Lineage: Bacteria
Description: partial 16S ribosomal RNA
Rfam family: Bacterial small subunit ribosomal RNA
Source: RNAcentral